This 477-nucleotide ribosomal RNA is filed under the name uncultured bacterium. RNAcentral describes it as "partial 16S ribosomal RNA". It matches the Rfam family "Bacterial small subunit ribosomal RNA", at positions 28 to 507 of the family's 1533-position model. The record is from RNAcentral.
GAUUAAUGCUGGCGGCGUGCAUAACACAUGCAAGUCGAACGAUGAAACUUUUUUGAUUUCUUCGGAAUGAUUAAAAGUGGAUUAGUGGCGGACGGGUGAGUAACGCGUGAGUAACCUGCCUUAGAGAAGGGGAUAGCCUUUGGAAACGAAGAAUAAUACCCUAUGAAACCAUAACCUCGCAUGAGGAAUUGGUCAAAGAUUUAUCGCUCUAAGAUGGACUUGCGUCUGAUUAGUUAGUUGGUGGGGUAACGGCCCACCAAGACAGCGAUCAGUAGCCGGCUUGAGAGAGUGUACGGCCACAUUGGGACUGAGACACGGCCCAGACUCCUACGGGAGGCAGCAGUGGGGAAUUUUGCACAAUGGGGGAAACCCUGAUGCAGCGACGCCGCGUGAUUUAGAAGGCCUUCGGGUUGUAAAAAUCUUUUCUAUGGGAAGAAAAUGACAGUACCAUAGGAAUAAGGACCGGCUAAUUACGUG